Molecule: ribosomal RNA, 497 nt
Filed under: uncultured bacterium
Lineage: Bacteria
Description: partial 16S ribosomal RNA
Rfam family: Bacterial small subunit ribosomal RNA
Source: RNAcentral
GAUGAACGCUGGCGGCGUGCCUAAUACAUGCAAGUCGAGCGAACAGACGAAGAGCUUGCUCCUCUGACGUUAGCGGCGGACGGGUGAGUAACACGUGGAUAACCUACCUAUAAGACUGGGAUAACUUCGGGAAACCGGAGCUAAUACCGGAUAAUAUAUUGAACCGCAUGGUUCAAUAGUGAAAGACGGUUUUGCUGUCACUUAUAGAUGGAUCCGCGCCGCAUUAGCUAGUUGGUAAGGUAACGGCUUACCAAGGCGACGAUGCGUAGCCGACCUGAGAGGGUGAUCGGCCACACUGGAACUGAGACACGGUCCAGACUCCUACGGGAGGCAGCAGUAGGGAAUCUUCCGCAAUGGGCGAAAGCCUGACGGAGCAACGCCGCGUGAGUGAUGAAGGUCUUCGGAUCGUAAAACUCUGUUAUUAGGGAAGAACAAAUGUGUAAGUAACUAUGCACGUCUUGACGGUACCUAAUCAGAAAGCCACGGCUAACCACGUG